CGCUAUACAGCGCCUCAAAGCUUCAAACGUUCCUUUGUCUGAGCUCACAUUUCUCAUAGAUGGAAAAUUUCUUGGAAGUUAGCAAAGAUACAGCAAGCAUACCAAGACGAGAUCUAUGGUAAGAUUUUCUUCAUCAAUUUUAUAAACUGCAACUCCAAAUUUCUGUUUUAUCGGAUGAAAUUCACGAAUAUUGCUUUGAUUCUAGUUAAUACUCUCUCUCUCCCUCUCUCAGCCAUACACCCUCCAAUGUUUCCUACAGAUAAAAUCUGAUAGUGUCUCUAGGGAUGUCAAUCGGGCCAGUCCAUCAGGUUUUCGGGCUAGUCCUAUCGGGUUCCGGGUUAGUCGGGUGCGGGCUAAUCGGGUUGGAGAUUUUUUCGAUUGUAAAUCUUCAACCCUAACUCUAAACUUUCGGGUUUCGGGCUAGCCCAUCGGGCUAAUCAGGUUAAAGGCGUAAAAAUAAAAUUAUAAUUUGUAUUUUAUUAUUCCUAAUGAUCUAAUGUAUAAUGUAUAAAAUAUACAUAGAUAUUAAAUAUAUAAAUUAUAUAGCAAAGCAUGAAAUGCAAAAAUAUAAGAUAUUCAAGAUUACAUAAACAAAAUUAUAUUAAAAUGAGAUAGUAAAAUUUAACAUGUAUCAAUGCAUUAGAAUCAAUAUGGAUUAUUACUGAAUAAUUAGUGGAUUUGCCAUGCACGUCUCAUUGACAAGAAAAAAAAAUGGUAUCACUUUAAAAUGAGAUACUAAUAAUUAAUUUCUAACUAAUGAGAUACUAAUAAUCAAUUUCUACAAAAAAUCCGUAAUUAAUUUCACUUUUUUUAAUGAGAUUGCACACACACACACACACACACACACACACACACACACAUAUACUAACUAAUUAAUUACUUACUUUUAGUAGUAGACUAAUAUAUAUAGUUAAGCAAAUACCAUAGAUCUAAACAUAGCAGAAGUUGUAACUGGAUGCAUUAGUCACAAUUCCGUCACGCCCACCGGGCCAGCCCAUCGGGUUUUCGGGCUAGCCCUAGUCCGGGUUCGGGUUAGUCGGGUGCGGGCUAAUCGGGCUGGGUAGGUUUUUUCGGGUUGCGUAUUUUUCAACCCUAACCCUGUAAUUUUGUCGGGUUAUUCGGAUCGGCCCACGGGUUUCGGGCUGCAUUGACAUCCCUACGCGUGAGUAAAAAAAAUGAGUUUUUUCCUCUCUUUUCUCUCUCUCUUCUCCCGCCAAUUUUUCUCUUUCUUCUAUUUUUAUUUUAUUUUAAUUUUUUUUCUAAAUAUCAACAGAUUUGAUUUGUGAAAAAAUAUUCAAUAUUGAUCUUAAAUUUAAGUUCGUGACAAGAUUUUUAAUAUAGUAUAAAAAUUAUUCAAAAAGAUUCAAAACAAAAAAGUUAUCAAAAAACUAAAAUAUAAAAAUUCUAGAAUCUUGCUCCAGGAAUUGGUUAGGAGUUAAAAAGAGAAUCACCUGCUUUACCACUAUGUCUCCUGCUCCAACCUCAAUUCUUUGCAUGCNUUCAUUAUCGAAUAAUUUUUAAAUUUAUUUAAUAACUAUAAUUAUCAAUAUAUUUUGUAUUAGUUGAAAAUUUAUAUUUUUAAAUUCAAAAUUUUAUUGAGUAACUUAUGUGAAUUACUAUUAUAUUUUAUUUAUAAAACAUAUUUUGUAUUUAUUUAUAUUUUGAUUUUUUAUUUAUUUAAAUUUUCAUUUAAUUUCGAUAUCCAUCGUCGAUCAUACGUAUGGGCGUAUACUAGUUAUUAUUAAAUGAGAGGAUAUAGUGAAAAUUUUGGAAGCCAUGUUUAAAAUCACCCACCAAAAUAAUCGGCAACUCUUUUGUUUUCUUUUUGGGCUAUUUCCUUCUUCGUCUUUUGUUAUUUACAAUUAGCUUGGCUCAAACUAAUGAGUCCAAGUUCAAGCCCAACAUUCUUCUUUUGCUUGUGUUUUUAAUUAGUUGGGCUCAAACUAAUGAGGGCCCACAAACAGUAGACAUAUUAGCCCAAUUUAUAACCGGAACUCAUGCUGGCUGUGGGGGUUGUAAUCAACUCGAGCUAGCAAACUUAGGGCUGUUAAAUGGGCCGGAUCAGGUCAGCCUGGCCCAGACUCACUGAGCUAUCAACUUGUACCGGAUCAGCUUGACCCGGCCCGAAAUAUGAUUGGGUUGUAAAUCAUAACUAAAUUGGCCUAAUAUUUUUUUUUAUAUGAAAUGUUAAGACUUAUAAAUCUAUGGCUUAUAAAUAAAUAUAUCCAUCAAAUAAAUUAUCUAAUAAAAGUAAUGAAUAGAUAGAUUUUCUAAAAUAAUAGAUUAUCAAAUAAAAUAACAUUAAUUACAUGUAUAAAUAAAUAUAUUCAUUCAAUAAAAAUAAUUAAUCAAUAGAUUUUUUAAAAUAAUAGAUUAUCAAAUAAAAAAAUAUUUACAAUUAAAAAAAAAAAGGAAAAACACCUAAUUCACGAACAGUAUCCAUUCACUUAGCUCAUCUUCCAAUUCUCUCAAAGUAGGCCUUUCCUCCACUGCUCCGCCACUCUCCUCAUCAUCAACAGCUCCAGACACCGAAUCUCCCCCAUUUUCCGACGCCCUCCGCCACGGAAGAAGUUGGAGCAGGCGGGGAAGAACGCCUGCGCGGCCGCCGCGCAUGCAGCCGGGAAGCGCGUGGGUCCCAUCUACGUGGAGCUCGUAAACUAGCAACGGAAAACUCGUCUCCAAACAGCACCCCGAAAUCCUAGUUUCGUUUCCGCGGCGUAGAGAGCGACGGAUCACCUCGCCGAUGAACUGCUUGAUUUUCGAUUCCGGCACCAGCGUCGGAAUCUUCAUCACGACGGCCUCUCGAUUAUUCUCGAAGGUUCCGCGGCAGAAUUUCCCGUCCGUCUCACUGUAAUUGUUGGUGGCGAUCUCCAUUUCCUGAGCUGUGUAUAUUUUGAGUUGCGCAGAUCUCGAUCUCUUGCGAUUGGAUAGCUUCUUCUUCAGUAUGUUUCCGCCAUUCCUGUCGAACAAGCUCAUUCUGUUGUGCUCGAGCUUCCGUCUCCGAUGCGUCCAAACGAUCCAAGUGCUCGCGAAGAGGGGCGCUAGCACGAACACCCCCAAUAAGUAGGGGAUUUUGGAGUCGAUGAUGCAGAUUCCAUGGCAGCUCCGCAAGGCGACCGAGGUUGUUUUGGUGACGGAGGAAGAGAGGGUGAGAGAGAAAAACAUCAACUUGAAAGGAACGGAAUUGUGGAGACAGAUUUUCAGAAGAAUCUUCAAAGGGGUGGUGGUUGGACAAGAUAGGAGACAAGAGUUUAAAAGUGCAAACAUAGUAUAUGAAAAAAAAAGAGGGUUAAUAUGUAAAAACAUAUAUAUACAAAAAAAAGGGGGUUAAUAUGCAAAAACAUCCUAACGUUAUAUAUCACUCUAACUAUACUUAAGUCCCUAAUCUAACGUUGAUAGCAACUAACACCCCAAAGUUCAUUAAGUACUACAAUUAAACCCAUAACAAAAUUUCUUGUUAUUUGAUACUAGUAUCUGACCAUAAUCUAGUCAAAUAUAAAAGAAAAUAAAAUUAAAUAAGUUGGCGAAUACUUAGUAAUUAAGGAAAAAGAAAAAAAUGGUGUAGGCACUCUUUUGGAAAUUGGAAUUGGAACCAGCAAUUUUGCUAUCUUUCUUUUUUCUUUGUUUUCGUCUGAUGUUCUUCUUCUUCUUCUUCUUCUUCUUCUUCUUCUUCUUCUCUUUUUUAUUUGUUUUUUUAUUUGUUUUUUUUAAUACUGUUUUUUCUUAUCUUUCUUUAUAUACUAGUGUGUAACUCGUCGAAAUUCGACGAGAAACCAUUGCACAUCAUAAUUAUUAUUGUAUAUUAUUUAUAGUUAUUGUAUAUGAAAUGAUCUUUAUAUAUAUAAAUUAUUUUUUAAUUAAUUUUGUUUCAUCAAAAUAAAUUGUGUAGAUUGCCUUUACAUGUAAGUUUUUAUUUGAUAAAAUUUCACAAAAAAUUGAUGUGAUGUUGAAGAUUUUAGAAAAAAAAGAUUUAGGUAUAUUUGAAAUAGGAUAUAAUGAAGAAUUGAUAGAUUGUACUUUUUGUUAAUAGUAUGUAGAAAAGAUUUACCUUCAACCAAUCUCACUCGAUAAUCUUUAGGUUUUCUCCCAACAAAAAAAAAAAAAGAAAGACAUGCAAAUUAAACCUAACAAAAUAUUACUACUUCCAUUUUCCCAUAUUUGGCCUAUAUUUUUAAGGUCAAUGAAAGUGGGCUAUAAUUUGUCUCCAAACAGCAGCCCGCAAUCCUAAUUACAUUUCCGCCGCGUAGAGUGCGACGGAUCACCUCGUCGAUGAACUGCUUGAUUUUCAAUUCCGGCACCAGUGACGUACGGAAUCUUCAUCACGACGGCCUCUCGAUUAUUCUCGAAGGUUCCGCUGUAGAAUUUCCCCGGCUCUCUGUAAUUGUUAGUGGCGAUCUUCAUUUAGGAGAGAUGCGGCCGGCUGUUUAGGUUUUAAAUUAUACUACUAGAAUCCAAUUUUUUACUUUUUAUUCAUAUUCAUUUUAUUUCCUUCUUAUCUUUUUUUUAUAUUUUUUUAUUUUUAUGUCCAAAUCAAAAGUUGCCUCCAAGAUGAUGAAUUUUUUGAUAAUUAACCAUUUUUUAUACUACUAUUUUAUUGCAAUUUUUGCUGGAUGAGUUUGUUGAUCAGAUGUUGCUGGCUUUCUCAUUGAUCUUGUUAUUGUUAUAUAGUAAUGCUCUAAGCGUGUAAUUAAAUAACCAAUAAUUGCACCUAAUCUUUUCUUAUAGCUACGUGGAUUCAGCAUCAUAUGUUUCUGAUUUCUUUGCUUCAAUUCUAGAUUUUAAUAUAUUUGUGAUAUUUUUUUUUUGGUAAUUGAUGUAUAAAUACAUAAAUUUUAGUCAUUUUUUGGUAUUUAACAUGAAUUUUAAAAUCUAGUUAUAAAUGCAUGAAAUUUAAAUUUAUUUAAUUUUUGAC
This 4912-nucleotide long non-coding RNA is filed under the name Salvia miltiorrhiza (redroot sage). RNAcentral's name for it is "long non-coding RNA (SMIL_LNC007106)". Lineage: Eukaryota; Viridiplantae; Streptophyta; Magnoliopsida; Lamiales; Lamiaceae. The record is from RNAcentral.